Molecule: long non-coding RNA, 743 nt
Filed under: Equus caballus (horse)
Lineage: Eukaryota; Metazoa; Chordata; Mammalia; Perissodactyla; Equidae
Description: lncRNA (ENSECAG00000042740.2)
Source: RNAcentral
AUUCAUCCCAUUCUCAUAAAGACUCUGUGGGGACCCAGUGCUCCCUCACCAGGAAAAGUAUCUGAGCCUUGUGGAGAGCGGGGCGCCAAUUCUAACUACUGGACUUUACACGGACCCGGCCAGUGCUCCCUUGUUUGAAAGACCAAGUGUCAGUGUUGAUCCCUGAACACUCAGUCUGGGCAUCAGACUACAAAGUGAUGAGAUCCAGAGACCUAUUGCUGGACACCCCAAAGUUUAGAGACCAGGAGGAUGGGGGGGGACCCCCCAAGGCAGGCUGAGAAGGAGCAGUCAGUGGGAUAACAGAAAGAGCAGGGGAGAGUGACGUCCGAGAAGGAUGAUGGACAUUUUCAAAUGUUGAUGGGAAGUUUUUAAGCUGAAAGAACCAGCAGCAAGUAGGAAGGGAAACUGACGAGGAAGGAGCAGCGAGGAAGGGAGAGCCCCUGAGUGAGAGGACGGGCCUCCCGAACAGAGAGGCUGGUCUCACACAGAGCAGAGAACGUGCCCCUGGCUACAAGAGGGAGGACAGCUCCCGUGGACACAGGCGCACCUACGUGCAGCAUUGCAGUGGAAGGAGGCUGUGGACAUGCGCUUCUCUCUACAUCCGUUUCCUCAGUGGAACAGGAGCAAGAUCAUCAUCUGAAAACAGAAGCCCAGAACCCCAGAGGUCCAUGAGAAAGCCUCGCUGAUGUCACGUCACCAGGCUUCAAGGAGCCAAGCCUGGGGAGCGGCGGCUAUGGGCGCCC